UACGUAGGGAGCAAGCGUUGUCCGGAAUCAUUGGGCGUAAAGCGCGCGUAGGUGGCCUCAUAAGUCCGCUGUGAAAGUCAAAGGCUCAACCUUUGAAAGCCGGUGGAUACUGUGAGGCUAGAGUACGGAAGAGGCGAGUGGAGUUCCUGGUGUAGCGGUGGAAUGCGCAGAUAUCAGGAGGAACACCAAUAGCGAAGGCAGCUCGCUGGGACGUUACUGACACUGAGGCGCGAAAGCGUGGGGAGCGAACAGG
RNAcentral lists this ribosomal RNA (253 nucleotides) under uncultured bacterium. Its description in RNAcentral is "partial 16S ribosomal RNA". It matches the Rfam family "Bacterial small subunit ribosomal RNA", at positions 524 to 776 of the family's 1533-position model. The record is from RNAcentral.